RNA transcript from Triticum urartu, 1752 nucleotides. RefSeq lists it as uncharacterized. The record is from RefSeq and is a predicted model, not a curated record. NCBI's taxonomy places the organism in Eukaryota, Viridiplantae, Streptophyta, Magnoliopsida, Poales, Poaceae.
UCGCCUCCCAAUUCCAGCUGCCAAAGGCGACCGACCCCGGCGACGCUCGAUCCGGUGAGCCUGGAGCGCUCGUCGCGGCCGUCUUCCUCCUCCCUGGCCCCGCCUCCCGCCUCCUGUGUGCGCGCGCUCCUCCCCCUCUCUCCCCCCCCCUCGCUGCCGACCUCGCCCGCCCCUUCGCCGCCGCCAUGGCCGUCCGUGCCGUCCGCGUGCUCCAUGUCGACAGCUACGACUCCCCCGCGCAAGAGCAGACGCACAAGAGCCCUUUAUCCUCCUAAACAUGCACAAACUCCUCCUAAACAGCGUGCGCCGCCGCCGAUCUGUGCUCUCCUCUCCACGCCGCCGAUUUGUCCUCUUCGGCUUCCUUCCAGCUCCAUGUGCUCCUUCCUCUCACCACCGCCCCAAUCCUCCCCGGCGCCACACCCAGCCUCCUCCACGUCUAUCUCCUGGCGCUGGCGGAUGUGUUCAAUUUGGAGGGAAUUCAGUGCCAUGUCCGUGCAGAAGAAAUACUCCAACACGAUAGCCAUGGAUGGCCCAUCUGGAUUUCACAAAUUCUUUGGUGCCAUAGAAAGAAAGCCUCCACCGGAUUAGAUCACAAGUUCUAAAGACGAACAACUCAAUGUCGCGUCCGCCAACUUCGCCUGAAGACCAUCCACCGUUGUCACCAUCGACUUUGCCGCAAGACCAUCCGCAAUCGCCUCCGCCGACUUUGUCGGAAGACCAUCAAUCGUCGCCUAGACCUACUUCGUCGCAGUGCUUCUUGCUGUACAAGACCACAUCUGGUUUCCACCAAGAAGCUGGAUCAGCGACAUUGGACUCUGAGCUGGCAUGGUACGGCUACACUUCCAACAGUUUUACUUGCUAACAAAAAAUCAAGUAUAACUAAAAGAAUAUAUCUUUCUCUUGCUGAAAUAGGUUUGGACGCACAGUGUGAUAUAUAUAUAUAUAUAUAUAUAUAUAUAUAUAUAUAGAGAGAGAGAGAGAGAGAGAGAGAGAGAGAAAAGUCUAUGUAUUGUGUAAGUCCAUGCUCUCUACAAUCAAAGCCGUCCAUCCAGCAUGUGGAUCUGUUCCAGGCAAGCUUUGUCUCUUUCCAUCUUUGAAUUAAACAAUUUUCCGCAGCUCUCUCAUAUUUCCUCUUUUAGCUUGGUGGUCCAUAGCCUAGCUGCAGUCUAGACCACAUGCCUAUGUGUUUGUCUGGCCGGACGGCACCAUUUGACACAAAGAGUUCCAGACUAUGCCGGACCUUUUUACGAUGUUGUGAGAACAACAGACACUCAUUUUAGGCAAAGUGCAAUACUAUUCGUCAGUGCUUUGUUUUGUUUCUCUGACCAGCACUAAUACCAUGUCACGGACAUCAUAUUCAUCGCGUUUGCAACGAGCAACGCCCUACAACCCCCUUGCCAGCAUGGAUUAUUUUACAGUUAAGGAAAUUUGGGUUAUCAAGUUAGCUGUCGGGGAGCAUCCAUGGACGGUGACAACCCCUUUUUUCUUUGCGACAGCAGCGAGCCGGAUGUUAGGCGUCGGUCUUCAGAUUCUAGAGACCAUGAACGGCCUUUCCUUCUCUGUGUUGGUUAUGUGAGAGGCAACGAGGAGGACCUGCGUUGGUUAUGUGCAUCAAGCUUAGUAGUCUGUAGUCCUAUUUUUUGUUAUGUCAGUAUCUUCAGUUAUGGUACGAUUUGUAUCAUGUCAUAACCAACAUAUUCAUUGCCAUGUACUGCAUUAGACGCAUUGUUAUCAAAUGGAUUUACCAGAUUU